Molecule: long non-coding RNA, 401 nt
Organism: Girardinichthys multiradiatus
Lineage: Eukaryota; Metazoa; Chordata; Actinopteri; Cyprinodontiformes; Goodeidae
Exons: 3
Source: RefSeq, a predicted model, not a curated record
GUGGAUGUGAAGGUCUCUCUUGUACCCCCAGAGGCCACUUCAGAACCACAGAAGGUGGUGCUGAUUCUUAGCAGCUUAGUCCCGGUUAACUGGGUGAUUACAGCUCCCAAUGUCUGGGGUCACAUUUCUGUUCAUUCCUACAACAGUGUCUCUCUGCCAUUUCCACCAGAGCCUAACGUAACCAUGUCCAACACACUUGUAUCUGACCUGUCUACUUUCUCUGAUCCUCUUGUUUGGGCCACUGAGAGCGGCUACACACAUGUAAGGUCAUACACUGAGGCUGACCUGGCGAAUCGCUUUGUGAUCCAGCUGGCAGAAGGCGGGACAGGCCAAGAGAUAUUACCUGUGGUGAACUGCGAGGGCGGUCUCCUCAGCGUGACUGUGGACCUACAAAAACUAAA